RNAcentral lists this ribosomal RNA (400 nucleotides) under uncultured bacterium. RNAcentral's name for it is "bacterial SSU rRNA". It matches the Rfam family "Bacterial small subunit ribosomal RNA", at positions 356 to 773 of the family's 1533-position model. The record is from RNAcentral.
GGGGAAUAUUGGACAAUGGGCGCAAGCCUGAUCCAGCCAUGCCGCGUGAGUGAUGAAGGCCCUAGGGUUGUAAAGCUCUUUCACCGGUGAAGAUAAUGACGGUAACCGGAGAAGAAGCCCCGGCUAACUUCGUGCCAGCAGCCGCGGUAAUACGAAGGGGGCUAGCGUUGUUCGGAUUUACUGGGCGUAAAGCGCACGUAGGCGGACUUUUAAGUCAGGGGUGAAAUCCCGGGGCUCAACCCCGGAACUGCCUUUGAUACUGGAAGUCUUGAGUAUGGUAGAGGUGAGUGGAAUUCCGAGUGUAGAGGUGAAAUUCGUAGAUAUUCGGAGGAACACCAGUGGCGAAGGCGGCUCACUGGACCAUUACUGACGCUGAGGUGCGAAAGCGUGGGGAGCAAAC